AUGGAGUGGCAGGCUCUCCCAUGCUUCACCGGGACCGCCGUGUUGAUCCUUCUUAUAGUCCUGCCGUUUAGUGCGUCCGACAACCGGCUUGUCCCCGGAAAGCCGCUCUCCCCUGGCUCCAUCAUCGUCUCCGACGGCGGUGCCUUCGCCUUGGGCUUCUUCGCCCCCUCCAAAUCCACUCCCACCAAGUUGUACCUGGGGAUCUGGUACAACGGCAUCCCCAAGCUUACGAUCGUGUGGGUCGCCAACCGAGAGACCCCGGCCACCAACACCACCUCGUCUACACUCUCCUUCACCAACACCUCCAAUCUCGUUCUCUCCGAAGGUGAUGGUGGGGGACGUGUUCUUUGGGCAACAACCAAUGUGGGUGCUGCACCAGCGUCAUCUCCCCCGACGGCAGUGCUUCUGAACACCGGCAAUCUCGUCAUCUGCUCCCCAAACGGCAGCAUGUUGUGGCAAAGCUUUGAACACCCGACUGACACGUUCCUCCCCGGCAUGAAGAUCCGGUACAGGUACGGGGCGCGUGUGGACAACGAGCGCAUAGUGGCCUGGAAGGGCUCUAGCGACCCCUCACCAGGGCGCUUCUCCUUUGGGGUCGAUCGGAACACGCUCCUCCAGACGUUCCUCUCGGACGGGUCACGCCCGGUGUUACGUAGCGCCACAUGGAUGGGGGACCUAGUGAUGAGUCAACGCAUGAACAACAACUCCAUUAUCGUCUACACCGCCUUCGUUGACAACAAGGAAGAGAUAUAUGUCACGUAUACCCUCUCCGAAGGUGCUACCCACACAAGGUACGUGGUGACCUACUCAGGCGAGUACCAGCUCCAAAGCUGGAGUAGCUGGACAUCAACGUGGGAUGUCCUCUGGAAGUGGCCAUCCGCCGAAUGCACCCGCUACGGUUACUGCGGCCCAUAUGGCUACUGCAACGAGACGGUGUUGCCAGCCCCAUCAUGUAAAUGCCUUGAUGGUUUUGAGCCAGCAAACAUCGAGGAGUUGGCCAGUGGUAGGUUCUCAACCGGGUGCCGACGGAAGGAGCCACUGCGCGGGUGUGGCGACGGUUUCUUGGCCUUGCCGGGGAUGAAGUCACGAGACAGGUUCACUCGCAUAGGCAUUGGCGGAAGUACAUUUGAGGAGUGUGCGGCUAAGUGCAACCGCAACUGCUCAUGCGUUGGUUAUGCAUAUGCGAAAUUGAGCAGCGGCAGGUCCGGCGGAGAUGUGGCAAGGUGCUUGGUGUGGGCUGGGGAGUUGGUUGAUACCGGAAAGUCUAGCGCAGUGCUCGGCGGAGAAACACUCUAUAUCCGGCUUGCAGGCAUGGAUGCAUCUACUGGUAAAAGGACAAAGAGCAAUGCUGUGAGGAUUGUGCUACCAAUUUUUGGCAGCAGUGUUCUCGUGCUCAUAUGUAUCUCCCUAGCAUGGUUCAAAUUCAAAGGUACCUUUGGUUACUAUCCUUAG
RNAcentral lists this ribosomal RNA (1452 nucleotides) under Triticum aestivum (bread wheat). Its description in RNAcentral is "partial small subunit ribosomal RNA". Lineage: Eukaryota; Viridiplantae; Streptophyta; Magnoliopsida; Poales; Poaceae. The record is from RNAcentral.